GAUAGCUGGUUCUCCCCGAAAUAGCUUUAGGGCUAGCGUCGGAAAGAACCUUAGUGAAGGUAGAGCACUGAAUGUGUGAUGGCCCCAUCCCGGGGUACUGAAUACAAUCAAACUGCGAAUGUCAUUAAGGAUGUCCGGCAGUCAGACUGUGAGUGAUAAGGUCCAUGGUCAAGAGGGAAACAGCCCAGACCGCCAGUUAAGGUCCCAAAAUACAGGCUAAGUGGAAAAGGAUGUGGGGAUGCCCAGACAACUAGGAGGUUGGCUCAGAAGCAGCCAUCCUUUAAAGAGUGCGUAACAGCUCACUAGUCGAGUGACCCUGCGCCGAAAAUGUACCGGGGCUAAGCCUGAUACCGAAACUGCGGAUUGUAGGAAACUAUAGUGGUAGGGGAGCGUUGUAUACGAGUAGAAGCCGUACCGUGAGGAGCGGUGGAUUGUAUAGAAGUGAGAAUGCCGGUGUGAGUAGCGAGAUGUAGGUGAGAAUCCUACACACCGAAAGCCCAAGGAUUCCAGGGGAAGGUUCGUCCGCCCUGGGUAAGUCGGGACCUAACGCGAGGCCGAAAGGCGUAGUGGAUGGAAAGCAGGCGAAAGAUUCCUGCACCCGUAUAUGGAGCGAAGGAGUGACGGAGACGGAUAGUGUGACCCUCUUAAUGGAUUGAGGGCGAAGCGAAGCGGCUGGUUACCAGGCAAAUCCGGUAACCAUAAGGCUAGAGCGUGAGAGGUAAGCGAAAUCUUCGGAAAGUAGCGAAGCACAUGAUGACGGCUUCCAGGAAAAGCUUCUGGCAAUGCAUAUGCGGCCCGUACCAAAACCGACACAGGUGGGCAGGGAGAGAAUCCCGAGGUGAGCGAGAGAACUGUUGCCAAGGAACUCGGCAAAAUGACUCCGUAAGUUAGCGAGAAGGAGUGCUUAAGCAAUUAAGCCGCAGUGAAGAGGCCCAAGCGACUGUUUAACUAAAACACAGCUCUCUGCGAAGUCGCAAGACGAAGUAUAGGGGGUGACACCUGCCCGGUGCUGGAAGGUUAAGAGGAUCUGUUAAGAGCGAUCUGAAGCAGUGAUCCGAAGCCCCAGUGAACGGCGGCCGUAACUAUAACGGUCCUAAGGUAGCGAAAUUCCUUGUCAGGGAAGUUCUGACCCGCACGAAAGGUGUAACGAUUUGGGCGCUGUCUCGGCAGCAGACUCGGUGAAAUCUUAGUACCUGUGAAAAUGCAGGUUACCCGCAACUAGACGGAAAGACCCCAUGGAGCUUUACUGCAGCCUGAUAUUGAAUUCUGGUCAUACAUGUACAGGAUAGGUGGGAGACAAAGAGACGUGCACGCCAGUGUACGAGGAGUCGACGUUGGGAUACCACUCUUGUGUGACCGGGGUUCUAACCUGGUAUCGAGAACAGGUACGGGGAGAGUGUCAGGUGGGCAGUUUGACUGGGGCGGUCGCCUCCCAAAGAGUAACGGAGGCGCCCAAAGGUACGCUCAGAUUGGAUGGAAACCAAUCGACGAGUGCAAUUGCAGAAGCGUGCUUGACUGUGAGACUUACAAGUCGAACAGGGACGAAAGUCGGGAAUAGUGAUCCGGCGGUGCCGAAUGGAAGGGCCGUCGCUCAACGGAUAAAAGCUACCCU
This 1612-nucleotide ribosomal RNA is filed under the name human gut metagenome. Its description in RNAcentral is "bacterial LSU rRNA". It matches the Rfam family "Bacterial large subunit ribosomal RNA", at positions 844 to 2469 of the family's 2925-position model. The record is from RNAcentral.